GCUUCUAUUCAUAGGCCCAUAUACUUGGCGUUCAGGCCUGUAUUAAUGAUCUAUUCUACCCAAAGUGCUUUAAACUAGAAUAGCUUAAAUAUUGUGCCAAAUAUGAAAACUGGAGAGAUGCAUAUGAGGAAAGUGUAUCGUGAGGAACGGUUUGAUAUUCAAAUCUUUCCGAAAACUUUUCCUUCGUGAAGAAACUUCUGCUCUUCUUCCUUCCCAAAUCGACUGGCAAGUUGGCAACCAUCUUCAUCCUUCUUCGUAGUGUUUGGUGAGAGAGGAUGGCUAGAUAGGAAGAGUUUUGGCCAUCGUAUAUCGGAGAGACCACCGCCUCACCGCCUCCCCUACUCAUUCUCGCCGGAUAAUGCAGGAACCGGCGGACCACCCUAUGACGGCAGCCUUCUCGGCGGAUCACUUUUCAGUUAGCCAGAAAAAAAAAAGAACAUUGGAAAACAAACCUCAAUCCGUUGGAGCUUCAAGAAAAAGUGUGAAGAAACAGUUGAAGGGUUAACACUAACACCUCUUAUUUAGAAUGUUAGCCCUAUUUAAUUGGGGAUUUUUAUUUAAAUUCACUUCAUUUUCCAUCUUUAUGACUGAAAUUUGGAUUUGGAUUAUUUUUAUAAACUAUUUCCAUUUCUUUUAUAUCUAAAUAUUUGUUACUUGAAUUACUUGUACAAAUAUACAAUACAUAAUCCAAAUUUAUUCUAUUUAAUAAUUA
Molecule: long non-coding RNA, 712 nt
Organism: Cucumis sativus (cucumber)
Lineage: Eukaryota; Viridiplantae; Streptophyta; Magnoliopsida; Cucurbitales; Cucurbitaceae
Exons: 2
Source: RefSeq, a predicted model, not a curated record